This 212-nucleotide small nucleolar RNA is filed under the name Oryza sativa (Asian cultivated rice). RNAcentral describes it as "box C/D snoRNA J23.1". Lineage: Eukaryota; Viridiplantae; Streptophyta; Magnoliopsida; Poales; Poaceae. The record is from RNAcentral.
AAUUAAUGAUAACUUUUUCUUUUUUACAAUUAUACGAUUGAUGCAUGUACACACAUUCUAAGAAAUAAAAAUUAGUGACAUAUCACUAAUCUUACAAUAUUAUUGUUAAAAUCCAUCUGCAUGUACAUAAAAUUCACUAGUGCUUCCCCAAAACUUUUAUAUUUGUACAUAAUACAUGGUAUAAAAAUAAGUUUGGAAAACAUACUAUAAUU